Molecule: long non-coding RNA, 505 nt
Organism: Ornithodoros turicata
Lineage: Eukaryota; Metazoa; Arthropoda; Arachnida; Ixodida; Argasidae
Exons: 3
Source: RefSeq, a predicted model, not a curated record
ACGGCUUACUUCCGACACAACGUUCCUGCUCGUGUGGCUGCAACAGAAGCGUGAAAGAUCAGCUGUCGAAACUCCUUCGGAACGAAGAGCAGUUUCAUGUGACAUAACAUUCUUUUGGGGUCACGAUACCAAACAGUACGCACGUUUCCAUUUAUUCUAAGGAGUGACGGUAUUGCAUCAGCAGAUGUGCAAUGAAAGGGAAACGUUCAACAAUCCUGAGGUUGUACUGUGGGGUAGUGCUUUUUGGAGUUAUGCUCGACAUGGUGGCAGGAAGGUCUGUCCUUGAAAGCACACACAGAGGACGGCGUGUCCCUCUGAUAUUGCCAACCGGCAGUGACAGCUUCGAAUGUCUCAAGUGUCGAAACCUACUGGAUAUUGUGCCUGCUCGUGAAACAACAUUUUCUUCAGCACUUAUCCUGUACAGGUGAAGCGGUCUUAUAUAGCGGCCAGCGGAGGAUUCCUUUCGUUAGAAAACCAUCGCAAUAAAAGCGAAGUAUUUUCGGAA